UGUAGGUGAACCUGCGGAAGGAUCAUUACCGGACUGUGAAGGGUGACGAGCGUCAUCGUUUCUGCCCCGUGUGGGCGGAGCGGCUCGCUGCGCCCGACGCUUUCCGCCGCUGACCCCGCUUGGACGCGGGGACGGCUAUACCCGCGGGGAUGCCUGAAUUCUGAGGGGCUCCCCGCACCCAAUUUGUUGCGCCCAGCGGGCGGCGGCUGCAACCUUGGACGGUUGGCUUGGCCGCGCCCGUGGGUACAAACGGCGCAACGCACUUUCAUGGGUGGGCUUUCGGUCCGCCUCGACGCUCAUGCGCGGAAUGGGAGUAAGACGACCCGACGUGCUUUGCCCAGUACGAGAGGAACGGCAAAGGUCGGUCAAGGAACUGGCGGUCGAGAGCUAAAGCUGCCUGCCAUCCAUCAUCAAUAGUUGGAACUGCGGUGCAAGCGCUCUCCCGUCCUCCGCGGCAAAUGCCGCCGAGUCUGAAAAGGCUGGCGGCUGCCGGUCGCUUCCUGCGGCGAGUAUGGAGUAACGACCCGACUAUGUUGCUACCCAAGUACUGAAGGAACGGUGUGGCAUUCGGUCGGUCAUGGAACUGGCGGUACGAGGGUGUGGCUGCCAAGUACAAUAGGAACCGUGGCCCACAACGCCCUCCCGUCCUCCGCGGCAAAUGCCACCGAGCGCCCGACAGGGCCGGAGGCUGCCGGUCGGCUCCUGCUCGUGACGCGCGAGAUGUCGAGAUCGCGGUUGAAUGCGACGACGUUGGCAGGCUGUUUGCCCGCCGCCGAGGGAAAGGCGGCGCUGCUGCGAAGUACGAGAGGAAACGCGGCUUUGCUACGUCGGACGCGUUCCGCGGUUAACGGACUUGUGCGCUUUGGGAAGGCGCCGCACGUCGAAAGAGGAUUUACGGACUGACGAGGGACUGAAGUCUCGAAACUUGAACGCACUUGCGGCCAGGCCCUUGCUGGCUUCGUCUUCCGCCUCGAGUAGACUGGUUGCGGCUCCGGCGCCGAAAGCCGUCCCUGGCACUGGCCGAGUGGUUUUGGAGAGCCGCGCGAGUAUGCGCGCCGGGCUCUUGUCUGUCGUCUCAAGUAGGCUGCCGGAUCAGCAGUGGGUGUGCUGCGGCAAGCCGCCGAUGCGAAAGCGUGUUUGUGUGAUAGGGAUGGAGCGGUUAAUUAAUACCCUACUGAUGACUGAAGCGAGACACGUCGAUGGGGGCGAGACCCCACCCGUGGCCGUGUUGCCGUGAAAGACUCCACAGCUGCUUGUGCUCUGUAGCCCUGCGGCUUUUUUUCAAUUUUCGUGGAGCAAUGUGAACGUGCACACGAAGCACACGGGUCCGGUGGGUUGGUUGGCAGGAAAACCGGCUUCGAGUGCUCGAAAAAAACAGACGUGGUGUGGCGCCCACGCUGGAUGACGAAAGCGAAACACGUCGAUGGGGGCGAGACCCCACCCGUGGCCGUGUAGCCGUGAAAGACUCCACAGCUGCUUGUGCUCUGUAGCCCUGCGGCUUUUUUUCAAUUUUCGUGGAGCAAUGUGAACGUGCACACGAAGCACACGGGUCCGGUGGGUUGGUUGGCAGGAAAAGCCGGCUUCGAGUGUUCGCAAAAAAAAAAAAAAGACGUGGUCAAGGGGCAGGCCACGCCCCCGCGGGUGUGCAGGGCUCGCGGGGUUAGCUGCAAACACAACACGCAAGUAGCAGGGUGCGGUGCGCCUAUAUGCUACCAACUGUUUGAGACUCGGCGGGCGAAAAAGCGCAGACUAGAGGAGCGCGCGCAGAAAGGUGCUCUUCGAAACCACACACAGGGAGACGCCACGUGCCUAAAACCCUGGUUGUACUGUACGGAAUUGAACAAACUACUUUUCACGACUCUAAGCGGUGGAUCACUCGGUUCUCGGGUCGAUGAAGAACGCAGCCAGCUGCGAGACUUGGUGUGAAUUGCAGGACACACUGAGCACUGAUUCUUUGAACGCACAUUGCGGCCUUGGGUCUUCCCUUGGCUUCGUCUGUCUGAGGGUCGGAUCACAUAUCAAGAGAGCCUUCGGCGCACAGGGAACGUGCGUCCGUCGACUCGUUUUGACCGCGUCGGCAUCACGGACAGUACGUUGAGUGCUGAAGCCACGCGCCAGCGGCCUCACGUGAGAGAGACUGUGGCGAACUAAACUGUUGUGCCAAAACUUCGCAGAGACGGAAACGAGGCAUUGUACUACUGCAGCGCGACGAGCGCGCGCCUCCGAAGAGACCGCCGCAGGGUGGAGUCGGACACCUGCAGGGAAAGCGCGGUCCGAGCGCGAGGCGCGAACGUCUGUUGCAACAGCAGUGGCGCGCACGUUUGCGAGAGAGUCGGAAGCGCAUGCUUGCAUGCACGGUUAACGCGGGAAGCACACUUGUUGGUUCCUGCGCCGUGAGCGAAGCGAGCGCGAUCGCGCGUUGCGUUGUUUGCCUUCGGAGUACGUCGAGCUCUAGCAAAAGGUCGCUCGAGCGUCCGCGUCACCGCACGGGUGCAGGCGCCCUGGUCCAAGUUUCGUCGCAAGAGUAGGAAUCGGAAAAGAUUCUUGCGCGGAGCAGAAAGGACAAGGGUGCGCCCCAAAGCGGUAGUGAUGCGUUUACGCGAGUGUGCCGUCUGCGAGCGCGAAGAAAACGGUACGACGGAUUAGUCGCCGCGAAGCGGAAAAAUGUCUUUCUCGAAAGCGUGAGUUUGCCCGCUGGCGGAGCUGAAGCGUUCCGUCGUAGUCCGCCGUCGGUCCAAGUGCUUCGCAGUCUCUGCCCCGAAAAGACUGGGUCCUUCCAGUUGGGGUAGGGGCGACGCUACACGAGAUGAUGCCUCCUGCCAGGCUAGAGCCGUCCUGCGGCAGCCGCUGAAGCGGCGCGCUGCGAGGGUGGCACGCCUCGGCGGUGUUUGGGCUUCAGACAUGGUCGUUUGCCACGCAACUGCUCGUGCGCCGCACGCGCGUGGGCGGUUUUUAAACCGCCUGCCAGCCUCGUCUAUAAGUAGCUCCGUGUUGGGCGAAGGACGUGGUAGGGCGUCGUACUCGGUUUGCGCUGGGCUUACGAACGUGUCGAGUCCUUUCCAGCUCGCUGGAAUGGGCGAAAGCGAUGUAUCCGUUGUCGACCUCAGAUCAGGCGAG
This 3117-nucleotide ribosomal RNA is filed under the name Dermacentor everestianus. RNAcentral's name for it is "eukaryotic LSU rRNA". The stretch from base 1857 to 2009 matches the Rfam family "5.8S ribosomal RNA". The record is from RNAcentral. Lineage: Eukaryota; Metazoa; Arthropoda; Arachnida; Ixodida; Ixodidae.